Molecule: transfer RNA, 73 nt
Filed under: Equus asinus (donkey)
Lineage: Eukaryota; Metazoa; Chordata; Mammalia; Perissodactyla; Equidae
Also listed under: 1 other name
Rfam family: tRNA
About the family: Transfer RNA (tRNA) molecules are approximately 80 nucleotides in length. Their secondary structure includes four short double-helical elements and three loops (D, anti-codon, and T loops).
Source: Rfam by way of RNAcentral
GUUGUCUUAGUGCAGUUGGCAGUGUGUCAGUCCCAUAAUCUGAAGGUCCUGAGUUCAAACCUCAGAGAGGGUA